GAUGAACGCUGGCGGCGUGCCUAACACAUGCAAGUCGAGCGAGAAUCUUCUGAACGAACCUUCGGGUGAGUGAUGAAGAGGAGAGCGGCGGACGGGUGAGUAACGCGUGGGUAACCUGCCCUAUGGAGGGGGAUAACUAAGAGAAAUCUUAGCUAAUACCGCAUAAGCGCACAGCAUCGCAUGAUGCCGUGUGAAAAACUCCGGUGCCAUAGGAUGGACCCGCGUCAGAUUAGCUAGUUGGUGAGGUAACGGCUCACCAAGGCGACGAUCUGUAGCCGACCUGAGAGGGUGAUCGGCCACAUUGGGACUGAGACACGGCCCAAACUCCUACGGGAGGCAGCAGUGGGGGAUAUUGCACAAUGGGCGAAAGCCUGAUGCAGCAACGCCGCGUGAAGGAAGACGGUUUUCGGAUUGUAAACUUCUAUCAGCAGGGAAGAAAAAAGACGGUACCUGACUAAGAAGCCCCGGCUAACUACGUG
Molecule: ribosomal RNA, 479 nt
Filed under: uncultured organism
Description: bacterial SSU rRNA
Rfam family: Bacterial small subunit ribosomal RNA
Source: RNAcentral